Molecule: long non-coding RNA, 413 nt
Organism: Labeo rohita (rohu)
Lineage: Eukaryota; Metazoa; Chordata; Actinopteri; Cypriniformes; Cyprinidae
Exons: 4
Source: RefSeq, a predicted model, not a curated record
UAAGAGGAUUCCUGUCAUUCCCGGUUACUGACAAACCCCGAGGUUAAGGUUCAGAUUUCCCUGCUUAUGCAACUGAUUGUUUUUUCCAAUCUGCGCUGGAUUCUCUUCAUCAUCUGAGUCAGAGCCGUGCGGAUGCUCCGCUCCAUAUAAGGAGUUCAGACCCAUCAGGAAACGCUUCAGUCCGGAUCAUUUGCACGCAUUGCAGCCUGUGUUUGAGUUCCUGAUGAUGUCCUGUGAGGAUGAGGAGGAUCACAGAUACACGCUUCAGCUCUCAGCAGCAAAACACUCACAGCAGGAUGCAUGUGACAAAAUGAGAGACACUGGUAAAAAGAGUCGCUCGAAUGCAGCUGGCCGGCUGAAGAGAGUCGUGUCCUGCAAGAGAAAAACACGCCAUCACGUGACGGGACCCGGCG